AUCCCUUUUUUUAUGAAAUGAAAUGCAUUAAUCACUAACAGAAUUGACAUUUUCUGUUGUGAAAAAAUAAAACUUCAAGGUUACGUUUCUAAAAAUAAACAAAUCAAUUAUUAAAGACCUUGAAAUGUCGUUUGCGUUUAUUUUUAAUACAGAUAAUAAAAAAAUAUCGUCCAUUUGGAUAAAAAACGGGAAUGCAUGACAACAGAUUUACCCGAUAUUCUCGUUUUUCCAGUGAAGGAGUCUAUUACGUUUUUGACACGUGUGUUGAAACUUAUUUUCCUACGAUGUUUUUAUAUUAUUUUUGUUCUUUAUCAGUUUUCGUGCUUGAAGAUCAUUAUUCACAAGUUUUUUUAAGAGCUACGGGAAUCUGUUUUUCUUGUUUGUGAAAUGACGAUUUAAUUUCGUCUUUGUCCGUGCAUCCCCCUUUUUUUACGGGAAAUUAUUAGACAAUGUUAUGCGAUGUUUAUUGCAGCUGAGCAAUAGUAUUUCAUCGAACUAAAAAUUUAAGAAAUAUGACAAAAAAAGCAUAACAAACAUAUUAGAAGGUGAAAUAUAUAUUUAUUUUGCAUAUCAGUUUUAUGUCUUGAAAGAUAUUUUUUCUUUUUUUUUAUCCCGACCGACCGACCCGACUUUUUCAUGGAGAAAAUCCGUAAACCAACAAAUUAAAAAACCGUGGCCUAAA
RNAcentral lists this long non-coding RNA (682 nucleotides) under Mytilus galloprovincialis (Mediterranean mussel). The record is from RNAcentral. Lineage: Eukaryota; Metazoa; Mollusca; Bivalvia; Mytilida; Mytilidae.